ACACAGCUGCCAGGACCAGAGUCCAUCUAUUUUUAUUGAGUGUCUGCAGAGAAAGCUCAUAGAGAUCCUUGCUGGCUCUGUGGAGUCAGCAGCUGUGCUGAGGAAGCCCACGUGUCAAGGAGCUGCUGGCAGCCUCUAGCACCUGAAGGUGCCUCCACCUGACAGCCAGCCAGAUACCAGGGCCUCACGCACACAGCCGCCAGGAAAUGAGUCCUGAAAACAGCCUGACGGAGCUUGCAAGCAGAUUCUUCCACAGUCGAGCCUCCCGGUGAGAAUGCACCUUGGCUGCACCUUGUGAGACCCUGGGCAGAGAACCCAACUGAGCUGUGCCUGGAUUCCUGACCCCCAGGAAACAUGAAAUAAUAAACAUGUGUUGUUUUAGGUCA
Long non-coding RNA from Balaenoptera ricei (Rice's whale), 386 nucleotides. RefSeq lists it as uncharacterized. The transcript has 2 exons. The record is from RefSeq and is a predicted model, not a curated record. NCBI's taxonomy places the organism in Eukaryota, Metazoa, Chordata, Mammalia, Artiodactyla, Balaenopteridae.